Molecule: ribosomal RNA, 406 nt
Filed under: uncultured bacterium
Lineage: Bacteria
Description: partial 16S ribosomal RNA
Rfam family: Bacterial small subunit ribosomal RNA
Source: RNAcentral
AUUGAACGCUGGCGGCAGGCCUAACACAUGCAAGUCGAGCGAGCGGCGGACGGGUGAGUAAUGCCUAGGAAUCUGCCUGGUAGUGGGGGAUAACGUCCGGAAACGGGCGCUAAUAACGCCUACUCUCAGAUGAGCCUAGGUCGGGUUAGCUAGUUGGUGGGGUAACGGCUCACCUAGGCGACGAUCCCUAGCUGGUCUGAGAGGAUGACCAGACACACGGGAACUGAGACACGGUCCAGACUCCUACGGGAGGCAGCAGUGGGGAAGAUUGCACAAGGGGCGCAAGCCUGAUGCAGCCAUGCCGCGUGUGUGAAGAAGGCCUUCGGGUUGUAAAGCACGUUCAGCGGGGAGGCGUUACCCGCAGAAGAAGCACCGGCUAACUCCGUGCCAGCAGCCGCGGUAAUAC